UUUUUGGCAAAUUACAUUACACAAAUUCACUACUGCGUGUAAAAAUAUUCCGUGUAUUUAUGAGAUUCCCUCAAGCAAAGUUAGCAAGAAUAUAUCUGUGAACAACUAGCAGUAAGUGUUUGACGAUUUCAUGCUCUAUAUCAUAAUUGUUUUUGACGAUGACGAACGUGAGAAACCAUUUUUCAUGCGAGAUCAGUCUACUCGACUAUAAAUAGGUAACUCGUCAUAUGAGUAAUCUUCCAUAGGGUGCGAGUAGUAAAGAUCGGCUGAAUAAGAGGGUGGUUGUCCGACUUGACAUAAUGAAUGGUUCAGCGCUUAUGUAGGACACAUGCCUUCCAGGGUUUAUGGGCCACCACUCCUGCAGAUAUGCGCCUGCAUUCAUGCAUGUAGGCGUGGAGAAUUCGUCUGCCCGCUCUCUGAUGCAUACUUUCACGUGACCGUAACACUAAAUGGAGGCAGUGAUUUAUCUAACUUGUCAUCCUCAGCUUACUUAACAUGUUCUAGACAUUAUCUCAGUUCAUUUUCAUUGGCGUAUAGUCGAUAAAAUAAAACAAGCUGAUGUUAUUUUCUGAUAAGGGGAAAAAAUGUGUCUUUCUUGCUAGCAAACAAAUCCAACUAAACACUUAUACAGGUGGAUAUGUUAGGGUGUCAAUUCAAUUGAUCUCUAUUGAUCUUCUUUGCUCAUUAGGAAUGCUAACCACUAACACCAGUGCACAUUAUUAGUGUCUUAACGAUGUGAUGAGAAAACAGCCUCAUCACUGCAAGUGUCUAUUCACAAAGGUACCUUAAAAAUAAAAGUGAACGUUUAUGCUGAAUAACAUUACCAAAACAUGAUUAGAAUGUGUAUUUAGAGGCGUCCACAUAAGUUCAUGAUAGGUUUCGGGUACCGGCUUAAUCAGAUACAUCUCGAAGCAAACAACUACAGACAAAUGUUACUAACAAGUUGACGAUAAUCCAUCGAAAAGCAAACAUCCAAGCAAUUCAGACCCUGCCAAUUAAUCUACUCUGAUACAUUCUAACUCAGCUGCUAAAGUAAGUAAGAUUUUUCAAAUUUGCAGCGUGUAGAAUCAGCAGGAAUGAUCAUAAUUUAAGGAAGGGGUAGGUAAUUCAACCUUCGCUCCAGUUAGGGUCAAUUACUGUCUGCUCGUAAUAAAGCAAUAGUAAUAAAGACAUAGUUCAUUGGCCUACGAGCCAUAGUGCUAUGCCCUACAAAGACAUUAAUCCGGUUCUGUGCAAUGCCCCUCUUUGGAUGGUGGCAUGACCUGCCAUGUUCUCUCUCAUGCAUACUCUCAUAUGAGUACCUUAAUGGAUCGUAUAGAGUCGGCAUUACCACCUGCCAGUAGUUCUGGUACGUACGUAAGAAGAUCAGAAGGCUACCAUGCCUUCACCGCCAAUAUGAGAAGCAGAAAGCUUCAGUUAGGUGUGCUGCUCACACUUACAGUGCUGUUUGCAUGCAGCGCUUUCUACAAGAUAGCCGAUAACGUGACAGACUACAUAAAGAACGGAGUCACGCGGAUUGACAGAGGUGAGGGGUACCGCACUGAUACCAGUGUGGUGUCCCCUCAGCCAGCCAGCCACAGUUCCCCACAUGCACUCACCACAUCAGCUACUCACCAGUACUUGAACAGGGAUAGACGAAAGCUGAUUUGCUAUGGACAAGUUCUAC
RNAcentral lists this long non-coding RNA (1666 nucleotides) under Priapulus caudatus. Its description in RNAcentral is "uncharacterized LOC106812041, transcript variant X1". Lineage: Eukaryota; Metazoa; Priapulida; Priapulimorpha; Priapulimorphida; Priapulidae. The record is from RNAcentral.